UCUCCGGGGGUAGAGCACUGUUUCGGCUAGGGGGCCAUCCCGGCUUACCAACCCGAUGCAAACUGCGAAUACCGGAGAAUGUUAUCACGGGAGACACACGGCGGGUGCUAACGUCCGUCGUGAAGAGGGAAACAACCCAGACCGCCAGCUAAGGUCCCAAAGUCAUGGUUAAGUGGGAAACGAUGUGGGAAGGCCCAGACAGCCAGGAUGUUGGCUUAGAAGCAGCCAUCAUUUAAAGAAAGCGUAAUAGCUCACUGGUCGAGUCGGCCUGCGCGGAAGAUGUAACGGGGCUAAACCAUGCACCGAAGCUGCGGCAGCGACACUGUGUGUUGUUGGGUAGGGGAGCGUUCUGUAAGCCUGUGAAGGUGUGUCGUGAGGCAUGCUGGAGGUAUCAGAAGUGCGAAUGCUGACAUAAGUAACGAUAAAGCGGGUGAAAAGCCCGCUCGCCGGAAGACCAAGGGUUCCUGUCCAACGUUAAUCGGGGCAGGGUGAGUCGACCCCUAAGGCGAGGCCGAAAGGCGUAGUCGAUGGGAAACGGGUUAAUAUUCCCGUACUUGGUGUUACUGCGAAGGGGGGACGGAGAAGGCUAUGUUGGCCGGGCGACGGUUGUCCCGGUUUAAGCGUGUAGGUGUGUGUUCCAGGUAAAUCCGGUUCACUUUAACACUGAGGCGUGACGACGAGGCACUACGGUGCUGAAGCAACAAAUGCCCUGCUUCCAGGAAAAGCCUCUAAGCAUCAGGUAACAUCAAAUCGUACCCCAAACCGACACAGGUGGUCAGGUAGAGAAUACCAAGGCGCUUGAGAGAACUCGGGUGAAGGAACUAGGCAAAAUGGUGCCGUAACUUCGGGAGAAGGCACGCUGACACGUAGGUGAAGUGAUUUACUCAUGGAGCUGAAGUCAGUCGAAGAUACCAGCUGGCUGCAACUGUUUAUUAAAAACACAGCACUGUGCAAACACGAAAGUGGACGUAUACGGUGUGACGCCUGCCCGGUGCCGGAAGGUUAAUUGAUGGGGUCAGCGCAAGCGAAGCUCCUGAUCGAAGCCCCGGUAAACGGCGGCCGUAACUAUAACGGUCCUAAGGUAGCGAAAUUCCUUGUCGGGUAAGUUCCGACCUGCACGAAUGGCGUAAUGAUGGCCAGGCUGUCUCCACCCGAGACUCAGUGAAAUUGAACUCGCUGUGAAGAUGCAGUGUACCCGCGGCAAGACGGAAAGACCCCGUGAACCUUUACUAUAGCUUGACACUGAACAUUGAGCCUUGAUGUGUAGGAUAGGUGGGAGGCUUUGAAGUGUGGACGCCAGUCUGCAUGGAGCCGACCUUGAAAUACCACCCUUUAAUGUUUGAUGUUCUAACGUGGACCCGUUACCCGGGUUGCGGACAGUGUCUGGUGGGUAGUUUGACUGGGGCGGUCUCCUCC
RNAcentral lists this ribosomal RNA (1416 nucleotides) under Salmonella enterica subsp. enterica serovar Enteritidis. RNAcentral describes it as "partial 23S ribosomal RNA". It matches the Rfam family "Bacterial large subunit ribosomal RNA", at positions 893 to 2290 of the family's 2925-position model. Lineage: Bacteria; Pseudomonadati; Pseudomonadota; Gammaproteobacteria; Enterobacterales; Enterobacteriaceae. The record is from RNAcentral.